RNAcentral lists this ribosomal RNA (253 nucleotides) under uncultured bacterium. Its description in RNAcentral is "partial 16S ribosomal RNA". It matches the Rfam family "Bacterial small subunit ribosomal RNA", at positions 524 to 776 of the family's 1533-position model. The record is from RNAcentral.
GACGGAGGGGGCAAGCGUUGUCCGGACUCACUGGGCGUAAAGGGUGCGUAGGCGGUCUUGUGCGUCGGCGCUGAAAUCACACGGCUCAACCGUGUGGCGCGUGCCGAUACGAUGAGACUUGAGGCUCUGAGAGGGUGGCGGAACUCCUGGUGUAGUGGUGAAAUGCGUAGAGAUCAGGAAGAACACCCGUGGCGCAAGCGGCCACCUGGCAGAGUUCUGACGCUGAGGCACGAAAGCGUGGGGAGCGAACCGG